AUGGGGGACCUGAUGCCCCACCCCCGUGACCGAAGAAGUAUUNCGGUAUGUAAANCUCUANCACCAGGGAAGAAGAAUGNCGGUCCCUGNCUAAGAACCNCCGNCUAAAUNCGUGCCACCACCCCCGGUAAUNCGUAUGGUGCAACCGUUANCCGGAUUUNCUGGGUGUAAAGGGAGCCCCAGGCCGGUGCCGGCCAAGNCCUGAUGUGAAAGCCCCGGGGCCUCACCCCCGGUCCUGCCAUUGGAANCUGUCCGUACUAGAGUGNCGGAGGGGUAAGUGGAAUUCCUAGUGUACCGGUGAAAUGCGUAGAUAUUAGGAGGANCCCCAGUGGCCGAAGGCGGCCUUACUGGACGAUANCUGACGCCUGAGGCCNCGAAAGCCGUGGGGAGCCAANCAGGAUUAGAUNCCCUGGUAGNCCAAGGGCCGAAUUC
This 432-nucleotide ribosomal RNA is filed under the name uncultured bacterium. RNAcentral describes it as "partial small subunit ribosomal RNA". It matches the Rfam family "Bacterial small subunit ribosomal RNA", at positions 371 to 807 of the family's 1533-position model. The record is from RNAcentral.